CCAGCUCCAAUAGCGUAUAUUUAAGUUGUUGCAGUUAAAAAGCUCGUAGUUGGAUUUCGGGCGGGGUUCGUCGGUCCGCCUCUGGUGUGCACUGCCGGGCCUCGCCUUUCUGUCGAGGACGGGCUCCUGGGCUUCACUGUCCGGGACUCGGGCUCGACGAGGUUACUUUGAGUAAAUUAGAGUGUUCAAAGCAGGCGAUCGCCCUGAAUACAUUAGCAUGGAAUAGCACGAUAGGACUCUGGCCUAUCUUGCUGGUCUGUAGGACCGGAGUAAUGAUUAAGAGGGACAGUCGGGGGCAUUCGUAUUUCAUUGUCAGAGGUGAAAUUCUUGGAUUUAUGAAAGACGAACUUCUGCGAAAGCAUUUGCCAAGGAUGUUUUCA
RNAcentral lists this ribosomal RNA (380 nucleotides) under uncultured Chlamydomonadales. Its description in RNAcentral is "SSU rRNA". It matches the Rfam family "Eukaryotic small subunit ribosomal RNA", at positions 585 to 972 of the family's 1831-position model. Lineage: Eukaryota; Viridiplantae; Chlorophyta; Chlorophyceae; Chlamydomonadales. The record is from RNAcentral.